RNAcentral lists this ribosomal RNA (497 nucleotides) under uncultured bacterium. RNAcentral describes it as "partial 16S ribosomal RNA". It matches the Rfam family "Bacterial small subunit ribosomal RNA", at positions 28 to 507 of the family's 1533-position model. The record is from RNAcentral.
GACGAACGCUGGCGGCGUGCCUAAUACAUGCAAGUUGAGCGCUGAAGGUUGGUACUUGUACCAACUGGAUGAGCAGCGAACGGGUGAGUAACGCGUGGGGAAUCUGCCUUUGAGCGGGGGACAACAUUUGGAAACGAAUGCUAAUACCGCAUAAAAACUUUAAACACAAGUUUUAAGUUUGAAAGAUGCAAUUGCAUCACUCAAAGAUGAUCCCGCGUUGUAUUAGCUAGUUGGUGAGGUAAAGGCUCACCAAGGCGAUGAUACAUAGCCGACCUGAGAGGGGUGACGGCCCACUUUGGAAUUGAGCACCGCCCCAACCCCUUCGGGGGGCAACAAGAGGGGAACUUCGGCCAAUGGCGGAAGGCUUGCCCAGGAAAGCCGCGGGGGGGGAAGAAGGUUUCGGAUCGUAAAACUCUGUUGGUAGAGAAGAACGUUGGUGAGAGUGGAAAGCUCAUCAAGUGACGGUAACUACCCAGAAAGGGACGGCUAACUACGUG